Molecule: ribosomal RNA, 117 nt
Filed under: Patescibacteria group bacterium
Lineage: Bacteria
Source: RNAcentral
UCCGGUGAUUUGAGCGAUAUGGACCCACCUGAUCCCAUUCCGAACUCAGAAGUGAAACGUAUCAGCGCCAACAAUACUUGACUCUAAAGGGUCCGGGAAGAUAGGUCAUUGCCGGGG